AGCAGCCGCGGUAAUUCCAGCUCCAAUAGCGUAUAUUAAAGUUGUUGCAGUUAAAAAGCUCGUAGUUGAAUUUCGGGAUUGGCGCAUCGGUCGUGCCUUACGGGGUAUGAACUGGUGCAGUCAAUUUCUCACCUUCUGGAGAACCGCGAUGUCCUUAAUUGGGUGCCGCGGGGAACCAGGACCUUUACUUUGAAAAAAUUAGAGUGUUUAAAGCAGGCAUUUUUGCUUGAAUACAUUAGCAUGGAAUAAUAAAAUAGGACGGCAUGGUUCUAUUUUGUUGGUUUCUAGGACCACCGUAAUGAUUAAUAGGGAUAGUUGGGGGCAUUAGUAUUCAAUUGUCAGAGGUGAAAUUCUUGGAUUAUUGAAGACUAACUACUGCGAAAGCAUUUGCCAAGGAUGUUUUCAUUAAUCAAGAACGAAAGUUAGGGGAUCGAAGACGAUCAGAUACCGUCGUAGUCUUAACCAUAAACUAUGCCGACUAGGAAUCAGACGAUGUUAAUUUUUUAAUGACUCGUUUGGC
Molecule: ribosomal RNA, 520 nt
Filed under: uncultured Entrophospora
Lineage: Eukaryota; Fungi; Glomeromycota; Glomeromycetes; Entrophosporales; Entrophosporaceae
Description: SSU rRNA
Rfam family: Eukaryotic small subunit ribosomal RNA
Source: RNAcentral